Ananas comosus (pineapple) is the source of this 368-nucleotide long non-coding RNA. RefSeq lists it as uncharacterized. The record is from RefSeq and is a predicted model, not a curated record. NCBI's taxonomy places the organism in Eukaryota, Viridiplantae, Streptophyta, Magnoliopsida, Poales, Bromeliaceae. The transcript has 3 exons.
UCUCUCUCUCUGAUGCAAGGAAUGGUGGACUUGAGCUUAAUUUCCUCCUCUACUUGAUGCUAGCUGAGCUGAGAGAGGUUAGAGGACAGCUAGAGAAGAGCUAGUUCCUGGGGUUCUUCUACUUUAAUUUCAAAGAAAGCUGAAUUGAGACUUUGGAAAGCUGUUGGUUUUCCCUUCGAGCUAAAUUGAGGGGUAACUGUGAGCUGGAUUCAGGUGUGUAAUCGAAGUCGGAGUAAAGGUCUGACCCUGUGCUGCACCUAGGCUUGUGACAGGGUAUUGGAUGAUUCUCGGCUGAGUAUCGGGAGCUUUUAGAGGCUGAAUUAGAUGUACUAACCUGAACCAAAAUAGGGGUACAAGCUGUAGCUUUG